RNAcentral lists this ribosomal RNA (524 nucleotides) under Leptolyngbya valderiana BDU 41001. RNAcentral's name for it is "partial 16S ribosomal RNA". It matches the Rfam family "Bacterial small subunit ribosomal RNA", at positions 36 to 588 of the family's 1533-position model. The record is from RNAcentral. Lineage: Bacteria; Bacillati; Cyanobacteriota; Cyanophyceae; Leptolyngbyales; Leptolyngbyaceae.
CUGGCGGCGUGCUUAGCUUUCCUUAAUCGACGACCCUCUUUCGGACUUUUUUCGCGGACGGGUGAGUAACGCGUGAGGAACCUGCCUUUCGGAGGGGGAUAACCCCCGGGAAACUGCUGCUAAUACCCCAUAUGCCCUCCGGUGUAAAAGAUAUUUUGCAUGAGGCCAAGGGCUCUCCCUCCGAUUAGCUUAAUGGGGGGGCAAGAGUUUUCCAAGGGCCACCAUUCCUUUACUGUGUUUUAAAAGAUGAACCGCCCCCCUGGGACUGAAAACACGGCCCAAACUCCUCCGGGGGGCACCAGUGGGGAAUUUUUCGACAUGGGCCAAAACCUUGUCCAACACUUUGCCGCGGGUGUGAGAAAGGCUUUUGGUUUGUGAACUCCUUUUCUCAGGGUAGAGGAUAAUGACGGUAACCUGAGGAGACAGCCUCGGUUAUUUCCGUGCCAACAGCCGCGUUAUUCCGGAGGAGGUAAGCGUAAUCCGAAAUUAUGGGGCGUAAAGCGUUCGUAGGCGGCCUUGUAAGU